AAAAGUUUGUUCAGGUUUCUGUAAGAUGGUGCAAAACCCUGAACGAACUUUUUGG
Bison bison bison is the source of this 55-nucleotide microRNA precursor. The record is from Ensembl. Lineage: Eukaryota; Metazoa; Chordata; Mammalia; Artiodactyla; Bovidae.